GGGGAAUUGUUCGCAAUGGGCGCAAGCCUGACGACGCAACGCCGCGUGGAGGAUGAAGAUCUUCGGGUCGUAAACUCCUUUCGAUCGAGACGAAUUCCUUCGGGGUGACUAAUCCUGGAGGUUGACGGUACCGACAGAAGAAGCCCCGGCUAACUCAGUGCCAGCAGCCGCGGUAAUACGGGGGGGGUAAGCGUUGUUCGGAAUUACUGGGCGUAAAGGGCUCGUAGGCGGCCAACUAAGUCAUACGUGAAAUCCCUCAGCUUAACUGGGGAACUGCGUGUGAUACUGGAUGGCUUGGAUUUGGGAGAGGGAUGCGGAAUUCCAGGUGUAGCGGUGAAAUGCGUAGAUAUCUGGAGGAACACCGGUGGCGAAGGCGGCAUCCUGGACCAAUAUUGACGCUGAGGAGCGAAAGCCAGGGGAGCAAA
This 425-nucleotide ribosomal RNA is filed under the name uncultured bacterium. Its description in RNAcentral is "bacterial SSU rRNA". It matches the Rfam family "Bacterial small subunit ribosomal RNA", at positions 356 to 772 of the family's 1533-position model. The record is from RNAcentral.